GACGAACCGUGCAAACGUUGUUCGGAAUCACUGGGCUUAAAGGGCGCGUAGGCGGGCCAGCCAGUCUGUGGUGAAAGCCUCCAGCUUAACUGGAGAAGUGCCGUGGAUACUGCUGGCCUCGAGGAGGGUAGGGGCAUCUGGAACGUUGGGUGGAGCGGUGAAAUGCGUUGAUAUCCAACGGAACUCCGGUGGCGAAGGCGAGGUGCUGGACCCUUUCUGACGCUGAGGCGCGAAAGCCAGGGGAGCAAACGGG
RNAcentral lists this ribosomal RNA (253 nucleotides) under uncultured bacterium. RNAcentral describes it as "partial 16S ribosomal RNA". It matches the Rfam family "Bacterial small subunit ribosomal RNA", at positions 524 to 776 of the family's 1533-position model. The record is from RNAcentral.